AGGGUUUGAUCCUGGCUCAGAACGAACGCUGGCGGCGUGGCUAAGACAUGCAAGUCGAACGGUCCGGAAUUUAUUUGUUUACAAAUGAGCUCCGGAUAGUGGCGUAAGGGUUAGUAAUGGAUAGGUCAACGUGCCCUUUGCUUCGGAACAGCGUUCCGAAAGGAACGGUAAUACCGAAUAAUAUCACUUGUCGAUGGACAGGUGAUCAAAGAUUUAUCAGCAAUGGAGCGGCCUAUUUCCUAUCAGCUUGUUGGUGAGGUAACGGCCCACCAAGGCUAAGACGGGUAACGGGACUGAGAGGUUGUUCCGUAACAUCGGGACUGAGACACUGCCCGGACCUCCACGGAGGGCUGCAGUAACGAAUCUUGCGCAAAAGCCUGACGCAGCGACGCCGCGUGUGGGAGGAAGUCCCUCGGGAUGUAAACCACUGUCAGGGGUAAGAAAGUCCGUUUCGGCGGAUUGAUUCAACCCAAAGGAAGUCACGGCUAACUUCGUGCCAGCAGCCGCGGUAAGACGAAGGUGGCUAGCGUUGUUCGGUGUCACUGGGCUUAAAGAGUGUGUAGGCGGAAGUGUAAGCGCUUUGUGAAAUCCCUCGGCUUAACCGAGGAAUUGCUGGGCGAACUGCGCUUCUUGAGGCAAGUAGGGGUGCACGGAACUCUUGGUGGAGCGGUGGAAUGCGUAGAUAUCAAGAGGAACGCCGGUGGAGAAAUCGGUGCACUGGGCUUGUGCUGACGCUGAGACACGAAAGCGUGGGGAGCGAACGGGAUUAGAUACCCCGGUAGUCCACGCCGUAAACGAUGUCUACUAGGUUGUGGAGGUUCUGACGCCGCCACGACCGAAGCAAAAGUGUUAAGUAGACCGCCUGGGGAGUACGGUCGCAAGGCUAAAACUCAAAGGAAUUGACGGGGGCUCACACAAGCGGUGGAGCAUGUGGAUUAAUUCGAAACAACGCGAAGAACCUUACCUGGGUUUGACAUGCUUGGAUGCGCGCUUGGAAACAGGUUGCGCUACCCGCAAGGGUGAAACUUGCACAGGUGCUGCAUGGCUGUCGUCAGCUCGUGUCGUGAGAUGUCGGGUUAAGUCCUUUAACGAGCGAAACCCUUACCAUUAGUUACCAGCCCGGAGAAAUCCGGGGGGACUUUAAUGGGACUGCCGGUGUCAAACCGGAGGAAGGUGGGGACGACGUCAAGUCAUCAUGGCCUUUAUGCCCAGGGCUUCACACGUGCUACAAUGGCGGCCACAAAGCGAUGCAAAACCGCAAGGUCGAGCUAAUCGCAAAAAUGUCGCCCCAGUUCAGAUUGUAGGCUGACAACUCGCCUGCAUGAAGUUGGAAUCGCUAGUAAUCGCGUAUCAGCUACGACGCGGUGAAUGUGUUCCUGAGCCUUGUACACACCGCCCGUCAAGUCAUGGGAGUCGUAAGUACCCAAAACCGGGUUGUUAACCGAAAGGAAACGCCUGUCUACGGUAAGUGCGAUGACUGGGACUAAGUCGUAACAAGGUA
RNAcentral lists this ribosomal RNA (1501 nucleotides) under metagenome. Its description in RNAcentral is "bacterial SSU rRNA". It matches the Rfam family "Bacterial small subunit ribosomal RNA". The record is from RNAcentral.